Long non-coding RNA from Oncorhynchus mykiss (rainbow trout), 2483 nucleotides. RefSeq lists it as uncharacterized. Lineage: Eukaryota; Metazoa; Chordata; Actinopteri; Salmoniformes; Salmonidae. The record is from RefSeq and is a predicted model, not a curated record.
GCUCAUCUGAGGAGGGUGGAAGAUAGAGAGAGAGAGACAACGAGAGAAGGAGUGAGCGAGAAGGAGAGCAAGAGAGAGAAGUUAGGAUUUCUUUGAAUCUGACAGAGAAAGCUAUAAUUUGAUUGCUAAUUAGAAUUGGCAUGCUAAAUACCUUCAACUGCUUUAAGAAGUUGAAACACGACCAUUGCAGUAACCCCAUGUCUUCCAAAAGUGCUGAAGCAAACUUUUGAAGGCACAGAGAACCGAAAAGCCAUGUAGCCUAGCUGGGGCUAAGACAUUCAAUGUGCUAACUUUAAACAAAGAGAAUCUCCGUUCCUCCAGUUUCCAUAGGUACACAUGGCGCCUCUCUUCACUCAAAAUAAACGUGCGAUUUUGCCAUUGAGGGGCAAAGCUUUGCUGAGUUGAGCUGUUUUGCCCGAGGAGGAGGGAAGGAGAAUGCGGUGGGGAGACUGGGUGACAGGCUCCUGUUAUCAUGGAGACUCCAGGUUUGCUAAGUGAGCAGUAACGGCACAGCUGGGGGCUAGCGUGACAUGCUACACGGAACCCUGGAUGUUUGCUGCUUUGGUAGGAUCUUGAGCUAACACCCUGGUGCAACCAUCACUCUGACAGUUGAAGCCCAAAAUAUCACUAAAUAUUACUAGAUAAGACACAUAUUGUAUCAUGAAUCUGGAAGAAAAUGAAUGUCCUCUUAAAUAAAGGUGAGAUUUAAAAUACAAAAUAUUAUAGCGAAAAUCAAUCUGAAAACCGAUCCGCGUUUACCUAUACAAUGGAGAAAUGCUUCAAUCCAAGAUGAUACACAGGCAAUAUUGCAAGCCACAUUCCUACUGUAUCCAUCUGUACUGCAGCAGUUGUCAGAGUCCCCACAGACUCCACCAGACAGGCAGCGAAAGCAAACCAACCGUAAUUCAUUAGGUGCUGUUGUGUGCAGGCUCAUUACAUCCGGACAUUGUGGGGAGCAUAAUAAUAAUGAAAGAAAUCGGGGGCAAUAUCAAUACAGCGCUAAUUAAAGAAAGAAAAACUAGGAGACUAAGAAAUAUAUAAACAAACAAAUCACAUACAAAUGGAUCUUAGCCGUCUGAGGAUAUUAAAGUAAAUCAUUUAAUAAUAACAGAAAUAUAGUUCGUCUGUAGCGCGGUGGUGGAUGGUGGUGGGGAAGUUUAGUGGAACGGGAUGCCGCGAGACACGUAUUAAGUAAUUACGAUGCCGGGGUUGAACAAUGAGCGAGUGUGGGCCUGUGGCAUGGCGAUAACCAGCGUGAGCGCGAGAGGCGCUGCCGGCCCUCCCGUGGAAGCACCACAGCAUAUUUUAGCACGGCGAUCGAGCCCAGGCCAGGGAAUGUAAUUAUACUGUACGUGCGCUAGGAGGGAGAGGAAAGCAGAAGCGAGGGGGUGGGUGGGAGACAUUAGGAAGUAAGGAAAGGGAAAUUAGGGUGUUUCCAGGGAGGGAAGGGAAAUUAGGGUGUUUCCACCCGUCUUCAAUAAUGUCUUUCUUAGAAGACUUAAGAUAAAAGGAAGGUGUUUGUGCGUGGUUGGGGUUGAUGUAUACACAAAUGUCUUUUUUUCCUUCUCUGUGGGAUUUGUUUUCUAAACGAUGCCUGUGUUUCCAGUGUUUCAUCUGUUUGUUCUCCCAAAACACCUGCUGCCUCUCCUCUUAGUGUUACGUUUCAUCGCGCUCGCUGACAUUUGUGCUCCUGAAUGUUCCCGGGAGACAUUUCCCAAUAGACACUUAUCCUUCUGCCCCGCCUUCUCCAUCCGACAAGAGGGACCGCCGCUUCUAACGUGAGCGUUAAGCGCGGCCUUUGAAGUUCGGGAUGUGAGAGAGGGAGGCAGACAAUAAAGCACGUUAGCGUGGGAGCUGACGACUUGACUGGCGAGCCCUGAGAAACUCAGUAGGAGCACUCUAGCAGGGCGUGCUAGCAUCACAUCCCAUCCCGUCACUACUCACGAGGACCUCAGACUCUGGCAUCAACAUGGUCCACUGCUAAAACUCCCCUGACAAGAAGGAGACGUCUGCCAGGGAAAAUAAUUGAUAUUUAAGGAUAAGUCUGAGGAUGGAGCUUUAGAUAGAAUUCCCUUCCAGGGAGACCGGAUUGGACCUAAUUGACAUCGGUGUGUGUGUCCAGUCGUGUGUAUUUAAAACAGCAAGGUGGUUACAGUACAUGUUGGUACUCAGCUCAGCUCCAGCCUCUGUCCUUCAUGACUUAAUUAGUACUGGUGUUUGGUCAAUACUGUACUGCUCAAUAGUUUGAAUUAAUAAUGAAACAUAAAGAUGCUAUUUGUUCCAUAGUCAUCCAUUUAUAGAGGUACAUGUGUAUAUUGAGUUUGGUAUAGAGUCAUUCUAAAUUAUUCAGGCUAUCCAUUCCAGAACAUUUCCAAAGUUGGGCCUGAUGCUCACCAAACAAUGUGAGCUGAACUUAUUUCAUGUGUAGAGAUGUGUGCUAGCUAGACGAAUAAUCAAAUGUAUUAAUAAAGCCUUUUUUUUCU